CUGGGAUCAUCAUGGAUUGGGAUGCAUUCUGAUAAUAAGAUAUUAGGUAUUGAUAUGUGAUAUGUAUGUCACACUUGACUUCAUCAUCCUUUGUUUUUAGAUGUAUUCUUUAGGCAUACAUUAAUGUGGUAGCUUGGUCAUAUUCUGUAGCUAAUUUAGUCACCAAAUACUCGGAUUUUUUCCCGACUCCCAUUAUAAAGAACUUCCACUUGCCAUCUCUAUAUGGAUUUUCUUUUUGCUACCGAUUUUGGCUAAAGGUUUUUCGGCUCUCAUCUCUAUAUGGAUAUGCUUUUUUCAGGUUAGUAGUUUAGGAGUUCCUGCCAACACUAGUUUUUGGAAGUUAUACUCCCUUCACCAGUUGGGCUUAACAAGGACAUAAUUAAUUCGCUGUUGGUAAUUAGAAGGGAAAAAAAUCUGGUUGGAGAAAACUUCUCUUUUUCUUAAUUGUUUGCUUCAUAAUUUUAGUAAUCUUUUUUUCAUUUUUUUUCAGGUUAGUAGUAUGGGAGUACCUGUCAAGACUGACUUUUGGAAGUUAUGCUAGCCUCAUCAGUUGGGCUUUCUAUACAAAACUAGACUCAAUAUAAUUUAUUUUGGUGCUUGCGAUGAGUAUUAGACAGAGGGGUGAUGACCACAUAGUUCAC
Molecule: long non-coding RNA, 641 nt
Filed under: Triticum aestivum (bread wheat)
Lineage: Eukaryota; Viridiplantae; Streptophyta; Magnoliopsida; Poales; Poaceae
Description: long non-coding RNA (TAES_LNC006400)
Source: RNAcentral